Long non-coding RNA from Ictalurus punctatus (channel catfish), 3320 nucleotides. The record is from Ensembl. Lineage: Eukaryota; Metazoa; Chordata; Actinopteri; Siluriformes; Ictaluridae.
AAGGUUUUAAAACAUGUAAAUAUAUAAAUAAGCAAAAUUGAUAUAUUAAAAGGAGCCGUAAUAAGCCUCUCACCCUUUCAAGUAUAAAACAAACUCCUCUGAGGCAAUUUAGUCUCUCAGAAACUUCAAUAUAGGUCAAUGCUCUGUUUAAUUUGCAGCCCGUUCAAAAUCGUUGCGCGCCAUUAUGGAGAUGUAAGAAGUGUCACAUUUACCUUUUAUGGAGUCAUAUCCCAUCUUUCUCGAGGACAUAAUGACGGGACAUAAUGAGCUUGGCUUAAAUGUUUACGCAGCAAUCAUUUCUUUAACGAUUUUCAUUUUCAUUUCAUUUUCAUUCUAUAUGUUUUCGCAUGACGGUAAAAAUUUCCCCUCAUCAGCUCUACACUUACACUUUCUAUACAUUUACAUGAAUUUAGAUAACACGGUAAAUGGUAUACAGCCGUGCUAAGCUUCAUGUAGUCAUAUAAUUAAUACAGCAUGCUCACACUGACCUCUACAGCCCCGUGUGUAUUGCAAUGACCUCUGAACUGCCCGCUUUUUUUUUCCUCCCACUGCGAAAGGAAAUGGUUUAAGAUGCAAACAGUGUAGCAGACAUCCUGACACGAGUAAACACCUUAGAGUUUAAAAAAAAAAAAAAGCUGAUUAUCCUCUUGGUGUGAGCUGCCGGAUGUCAAUGUCAUCCGGUCAGCCGUUGCACCGGCUACAGUGCGUGAUCACGCUUUAAUUCUUCAUAGACUUGGAGUAAGGGGGGGGGAAUGGUGUCACAUGUAACCAAACCAAAUUACCUUUUAGGUUUUUUCUACUACUACCACUCCCAAUGCAACACAAUCAGUAUGUUUACAUGGACAGCAGUAAUCUAAUUAUUGACCUUAUUCUCAAUAAGACAAUAUUCUGAUUAAGGUGUUUACAUAAGUCGCUUUUAGAAUAUUCCUUUCAUGUUCCCGUUUUACACGUUAUAGAACAUAGAGCGAUUAACGGCACACGUCAUUACGUCACCGCGCCACGCCGUCCGACGUCCCUCCAGAAUUUCACCUGUCGACAUACAGUUCGUCUUCGUUAUGGUCCCGUAUACAGUUUUGGGCGUUUCAUUUUUUAUUUCACGAAAGCUUCAAGUGCAGUUAAUUAUUCGUCAUGCUGUACGUGCUAAUAGACGACUGCUUGAAGCCGUGGGCUGCGUCCCGAACCGCGUACUUACCUACUAUAUAGUAGACGAGAUACAUGUAUUUCACCAACUAUAUACUGUAGUAGGUAAGUACGCGGUUUCGAACACAGCCGAGCCGAGGGUCAGCGCUGCCGUGUGUGUGUACGUGUCUUGUCGCACAACGCGGUGAAAACUCCCACACGACGUUAAUAGUGUGAUUAAGGUGUGUACAUGUCUGUAAUACACGUCGAUAAUGCGACUAAAGCAGGAGUACUCCACGUCUUAAUUCCAUUUGUGUUUACUUCGAGUACGACUUUAGUCGGAUUAAGGUCAUCAGAAAUCGCUGUUUACAUGCAAGUUUCUUAAUCAGAGAAUCGUUUAUUGCUGUAUUAAUACACUUUACUAGUAAAUCAGAAAAUUAUCAAAUUUUCGUGGGUGUCGUCAAGUCUCCACAUGCAUACCAUUCUAUUAUUCGGUUAUUUCUCCGCUGAGAAAUAGGGAUUGUUUAUAUUUACGAGUACGGAUUUUUACCAUGUUCAAAAUCUUUUGUUUAAGGCAAACAAUCGAUCGGGGUGUUAUAAAUAAACUAAAAGCGAUUUAUGCAUUACGGCAUAUAGCGUGCAUUAAGGUGUAUUGAACUGGUGAUGUAUUUGAGGGUGGAGUGAUGACAUGAUGCAUGAUCCACAUGCUUGUGGAUUGUAGCGAAAACACGCCUUUAUCACCUCAAAAACAUACCAGAAAGAAAUGUAUUCUCACUAAGUUCUAUUUUUAUAAGCAGAAACCUUACAGAAAUCUCGAGCCUCGCAAGUUUACGUACAGCGCACUUAAAUAUAAAGUCAGAUGUAAAUGUAAAUAAACCCACCCCACGGACUUCUCUCUGAAUCUGCUGUGAUACAUUUGGCUGUCUAGGGAACAGGCAUGCUGGCUAUACUGUAUAUACUCUACACAUAUAAUGAACAGCAACACUCUACUCCUCUGAGAGCCUGAUGAAACAUCACGGGUAUGUUUGAACACCAGGCAUUCUCAAUGUGACGUUCAAGGAGGUUCGCGUUCAUAGGAAAACCGCAUGAGUGCAUCCAGUGCUGAUUGAGUUCAGAUUCUCCAGGACGGCUAAUCAAAUUAAUUCCAGCCGACCUCUUCUCUAAGCCUGAUUAUUCAGGGUAAUCUUUGUUGUUUGUGUGCAGCUCAUGCUAUGUGGGCCAUCUGCCAUGGCUGUGCAACCUGAAUCUUUUACAUCUCUACCUGGCAUACCAUUUGUGGAGGAAAAAACUAAAAACGUCCUCAUCUUCUACCCGCUCGGUUCUUGCAAGCCACCGUGGUUAUAACAUGUUCCCCCCUCCCUCGCACGCUCUCUCGCUCUGUCUCAUUACCAGGAAUAGCAGGUACACUCCGCUCCUAAAGUAUUGGAACAUCAAGGCCAAUUCUAUCGUUUUCACUAUACAUUGAAGACAUUUGGGUUUGAGAUCAAAGGAUGAAUAUGAGACUAUAGAUCAGAACUUCAGCUUUCAUUUCCUUAUAUUUACAUCUAGAUGUGUUAAACAACCCAGAACACGGCACCUUUGGUGGCAGACAACCCCUUUUUUCAAGUGAUCUAAAAUAUUGGAACAUGUGACUGAUAGGUGUUUCUUGCAGCUGAGGUCUGCCCUGUUAUAUUGAUUGUUUAAAGAAUCAAUAGGUCUGAAUGCCUACUCUUGGUUUGGAGUCCUAGGUUUCGCCUGUGAAGACGGCAUUUGUUGUUAAAAAGGAUAAACCAACAUGAAGACCAGAGAGAUGUAUAUGGGAGAAAAGCAAGCCAUUUCGACUGUAAAAUGCUGUAUAAAUGCUCUAGCAAGGCUAAGUUUACGGCCUUUCAAAGAUAAAAAGACACCAGGUGAGCAUAAGAUUUCGUUCCCACAUCAGAUUAUCUGCUGGUAAUAAACGUCUUAAAGCAACUACCCGAUUGGCGCGAUCAUUGGGAGAUGGUGAGUUCGAACACUGAUGAUGACAGAUAUCUGUAGUCGGGAACCAUGGGAGCAAAACUUCCUGUGGGAUGGAUGCCAUUUCGACUGUAAAAUGCUGUAUAAAUGCUCUAGCAAGGCUAAGUUUACGGCCUUUCAAAGAUAAAAAGACACCAGGUGAGCAUAAGAUUUCGUUCCCACAUCAGAUUAUCUGCUGGUAAUAAACGUCUUAAAGCAACUACCCG